Molecule: ribosomal RNA, 468 nt
Filed under: uncultured bacterium
Lineage: Bacteria
Description: partial 16S ribosomal RNA
Rfam family: Bacterial small subunit ribosomal RNA
Source: RNAcentral
GACGAACGCUGGCGGCGUGCUUAACACAUGCAAGUCGAACGGAAAGGCCCUGCUCUUGUGGGGUUCUCGAGUGGCGAACGGGUGAGUAACACGUGAGUAACCUGCCCUUGACUUUGGGAUAACUUCAGGAAACUGGGGCUAAUAUCGGAUAGGAGCUCCUGCUGCAUGGUGGGGGUUGGAAAGUUUCGGCUGUUGGGGAUGGACUCGCGGCUUAUCAGCUUGUUGGUGGGGUAGUGGCUUACCAAGGCUUUGACGGGUAGCCGGCCUGAGAGGGUGACCGGCGACAUUGGGACCGAGAUACGGCCCAGACUGCUACGGGAGGCAGCAGUGGGAAAUAUUGCACAGUGGGCGGAAGCCUGAUGCAGCAACGCCGGGUGCGGAAUGACGGCCUUCGGGUUAUGAACCGCUUUCGCCUGUGACGAAGCGUGAGUGACGGUAAUGAGUAAAGAAGCACCGGCUAACUACGUG